UCUCUCUCUCUCUCACAUUGAGACAAAAAUCCACCCAUCUAAUGUCUGUAAUUCAGUGGUUUUAGUGUACUCAGUGUAACUAUCACUCUGUCUUGUUUUAUAUAAAAAAGAAACUGUAUAAUGUUAGGACUCUUUUCUUAUCCCCCUCUCCAACCCAGACAGCCACUGGUUUAUUUACUGUCACUGUGUCCUCUUGGAUAUCUUGUUGUUGCUGCAGUCAUGGGGAUCCUACAGCUGUGGUUCUGUAAGACCUGCCCCUUCAUGUGCCCUAGCUGCUCAUUGAAUGGGGUAGGUGUUGGGGUGGGCCAACUCAAGGCCCUGGAUUUGGGCUUGGGUGGUAGCUGAGCUGGCUAGCCCAAGUCUCUGCUGAGCCUUCCUCCCCGAAAGAAGCUCCCCCACAGUCCCACCAUUGUCUACACUGAUGCUGUGACCAGCUGUCCCAUGCAGUGGCCUGUGAAGGGUAGGACAUCAACAUGGCUUCAGGCACGAGCCCAGACCACAGACAUCUGAAUGUCCUAGGUGGUAACUUGAGCCUCAGAUCCAGACAUAACCCCUAGCCACAGCAUGGGCUGGACAUCACCAUGAACUCAGGUUACAGUGCAGGCCACUCAGAUAAGUAUGAUACCUGGUGACAGUACUGCCUUGGAUAUCACCAUGGCCUCAGGUGGCAGCUCAGACCACAGACAUCCACAUGGCCUUUGGUGUUAACAUCGGUCACGGACAUCAACACAGACCCUAGCUGCAAUAGGACCAUGGACCCAGACAUGGCCCUGGUGCAGAUACCACCUCAGGUGGCCUCAGGUGGCAGCCUAGACACUGGACAUCAGAAUGGACCUCAGCAGCAGCCUGGCGGAACAUUACCAUGGCCUCAGGUGGCUGCACAGGCUCCUCACAUCUGUCUGCUGUCCUUUGUCUCCCACCCCAUCCCCCCACUCUGUCUUUCCCAUCUCUCCAUUUCGUAUUUGUUCAUUGUAGUGGUGCCUGCUAGCCAUUCCGUGCUGCAGGGCAGGGGCUGGGUGUCUUCUGUUUUGUUUUUUCAAUAAAGCCAUCUUAGUGGGUGUGCCAUGGUUCGUCAUGGUUUUGAUUUUCAGUUCCCCAACAACUAACUGACAUCAGACAUUUUAGGGGCUUGUUGACUGGGUGUCUUCUCUGAAGAAAUCCACUCAAAGCUUUUUAAAAUUGGAUUAUAUUUCUUUGUUAUUUAAUUGUUAAAGAUCUUUAUUCUGGAUACAAAUACUAACAGAUACAUGAUUCACAAAUAAUUCCAUUUUGUGGUUUGUGCUUUAUCUUUGAUGGUAUUAUUUGAAAGGCAGACAUUUAAAAAUAGUUAUUUAUUUUAUGUGUGUGGUGUAUGUGUGUGUGUACACAUGAAUACAUGCAGGGCUACUUGUAAUUCAAGAAAAGCAGCGCAUGAGAGAAAGACACCACAUGACAGGGUUCAAGCAGAAGGGUUUUUUAUUAAUGAGGGAAAGGGAUCAUGAAAAGAGGAAAGGGAAGUGGGGAGACCAGUCUCGGAGACAGGAGAGCAGGAGAGAGGAGAAAGGAAAGAGGAGGAGAGAGGUGGCUGAGAGGUAGGCAGGGCCCCUUUUAAAAGGGGACAUAGUGAAUGUGCCCUCUUAGUGGCUGCAGCUGAGGGUGUAUCCUGUCAGAACCCCAAGGACAGGCCAGUACAGGUGCCUGGACACUAACACUGCUUGCCUGUGCACAUGGAUGUAGAGGCCAGAGGGGAAGUUUAGAUUUUAUGUUUCCAGCUUGUUCCUGCCUGCUGACAUCUCCUGAAGAUCUUGCAUGCUUUCCUGACUUCCUGGGUAUCAUUUCUCUGACUUGGAUUUACUUUGGGCAACAUGGUUGGAAUGUAUCUGGCUCAGAACUAUGACAUGCCAAACCUGACUAAAAAGCUUGACGAUAUUAAAAAGGACCUGGAAGCCAAGAAGAAACCUCCUAGUUCCUGAUGCCUGCCUGGCACUGCUCUCUGGACUCAUCAGUUUCCUCCUGAGGGGCCUGCCUCCUUCAUAGCCACAACCCAAAGCUGUGUUCCUCUUCAGCCUCACACCCUGCCUGCUGCCUCAAAGCCAACAUGGGGCCAGAAGUCAAAGGUUUACCUUACGUUCUGGCAGCUGCCCUUCCUCCUAUAACUUCCAUCCAGCUACUUAUGAGUCCUGAGCCUGGAACUAUGGUGCUAGGUUAGCAAAUACAAUCUUUAUUAGAAUUUACUCACCCGUCUCCUGGGAGUUCUACCAUCUCUUGUCAAGAGAAAACAAAACAUGGAUUUGGAUAGCUGAUUUCACUGUCUAGCAGUUAAAAGAGCUAAUUGUUAGAUGUUUGUUAACUAAAUUUUUGUUGCCAAAUUAAUUAAAGUCAGUACUUUCAAGCCAGAUUCUAGUGAAUUAUCCAUUUAUUUUGUUAUCAUUGAGCUCCAUGAUUGAUAAUUUAACCAAUAAAUCAUUUGCUGGAUUAACCAAGAAACUGAAUUCUGUAAGAACUGGGAAAUUUUAAAACAUGCAAAAUAAUUGUU
Molecule: non-coding RNA, 2515 nt
Organism: Cricetulus griseus (Chinese hamster)
Lineage: Eukaryota; Metazoa; Chordata; Mammalia; Rodentia; Cricetidae
Source: RefSeq, a predicted model, not a curated record